UACGGAGGGGGCUAGCGUUGUUCGGAAUUACUGGGCGUAAAGCGCACGUAGGCGGCUUUGUAAGUUAGAGGUGAAAGCCCGGAGCUCAACUCCGGAAUUGCCUUUAAGACUGCAUCGCUAGAAUUGUGGAGAGGUGAGUGGAAUUCCGAGUGUAGCGGUGAAAUGCGUAGAUAUUGGGAGGAACACCGGUGGCGAAGGCGGCUCUCUGGACCGGUUCUGACGCUGAGGCGCGAAAGCGUGGGUAGCAAACAGG
This 253-nucleotide ribosomal RNA is filed under the name uncultured bacterium. RNAcentral describes it as "partial 16S ribosomal RNA". It matches the Rfam family "Bacterial small subunit ribosomal RNA", at positions 524 to 776 of the family's 1533-position model. The record is from RNAcentral.